CAUGUUCUGACAUAUGCGAGUUGGGUCUACCCUGUAUGAUGAGGAUUACGGUUAUGCGGUGUGAAUUAAGUCGCAUCCGCGAUACCUCGCUGGUUUUAUCCUGGGCGAGGUCUAAACUUCGAGAAGCCUCUCCUGGACAUUUCAGCCUUCACUGGAAGUCUGGAUACACGUGUCCUUCAAGGAGGAGUCUGGUCUCGAGUUUCUAGGUGAGAGAAAUCUCACUAUAACACAUGCCCCUAGUUUCGCGAUGUGACUUGAGCGGUCACUGAGGGAAACUACUGCUCGAGAGACAGGUGAAAGGUUGUCACGAGGAGGUGACCUUUUGGUUGUCCCAUCGAGGGUUUCGAAAAAUGACGGCUGUAAUGAUUAAUUUUCAUUACCGCUGGGGUGCCACGUCACGAAACUCUUCGGUUUUCGUGUAGGCGUGGCCAUAGCUGGCCGUUAGAUUGGGCGACCUUAGGCAUUCUGGUUGCCACGUGUCACAAUCCCAAUAAAUAAGGGAUAUGGGUAUUUAAACGCUUUGAUACGAAUCAAAUAUCCCAUUUUUCCCUCCUUUCUCUUAACUUCUCCCCAGUAUAUACACCCCAGAAAAAAGAAAUUCAUUCCAACUUUUCUGCCAUUUUCCACAGCAUUUUCAUUCUCAGAAGUGAUCGAGAACAACCGCAGGAAUCGAAACUAAAGAUAGACCAGCUCGACCAACGCUUAGCGCGAAUAAGAAGGGGGUAGCUGAAAUUCUUGGGAGUCUUCCGGUACAAGAUCGCGACUGGCGAUUGCUGUGUACGACUGCCAAAUUGCGAGAACACAAACUGAUCCCCGAGAACGCGAGUCUUCAACGGGAGCCAGUAUAUAAAGAACCAUCUGAGAGACAGCAGGAGCGGAUAGAUAAACGGCUUUCCAAGCAAACUCCUCGAGAUACUUCAGACAUGACUUUCUUGAAGUCUGCCCCUGUCCUGAAGAUCAAGCAAAAGGGUGGAACACCGGCAUCUUCACCAGUCGUCGCCCAGAAGAGGAAGAGCGAUGUGAUGACUUCGCUCGCUGCAGAUUCCUCCAAGAAGUUGGCCAAGACCACUCAGGAUAAGGGGAAGAAGGUUGUCAUUGAU
Cannabis sativa is the source of this 1100-nucleotide long non-coding RNA. RefSeq lists it as uncharacterized. The record is from RefSeq and is a predicted model, not a curated record. NCBI's taxonomy places the organism in Eukaryota, Viridiplantae, Streptophyta, Magnoliopsida, Rosales, Cannabaceae. The transcript is spliced from 3 exons.